AUGUAGCUGACGAGUCCCAAAUAGGACAAAAUGUUCGUUGUCCUGUAU
This 48-nucleotide non-coding RNA is filed under the name Trichobilharzia regenti. The record is from RNAcentral. Lineage: Eukaryota; Metazoa; Platyhelminthes; Trematoda; Strigeidida; Schistosomatidae.